This 429-nucleotide ribosomal RNA is filed under the name Gemmatimonadota bacterium. RNAcentral describes it as "Gemmatimonadetes bacterium partial 16S ribosomal RNA". It matches the Rfam family "Bacterial small subunit ribosomal RNA", at positions 355 to 776 of the family's 1533-position model. Lineage: Bacteria; Pseudomonadati; Gemmatimonadota. The record is from RNAcentral.
UGGGGAAUCUUCGGCAAUGGACGAAAGUCUGACCGAGCAACGCCGCGUGAGUGAAGAAGGUUUUCGGAUCGUAAAACUCUGUUGUUGGAGAAGAUCAAGGACGUUAGUAACUGAACGUCCCCUGACGGUAUCUAACCAGAAAGCCACGGCUAACUACGUGCCAGCAGCCGCGGUAAUACGUAGGUGGCUAGCGUUGUCCGGAUUUAUUGGGCGUAAAGCGAGCGCAGGCGGUUUCUUAAGUCUGAUGUGAAAGCCCGCGGCUCAACCGGGGAGGGUCAUUGGAAACUGGGAGACUUGAGUGCAGAAGAGGAGAGUGGAAUUCCAUGUGUAGCGGUGAAAUGCGUAGAUAUACGGAGGAACACCAGUGGCGAAGGCGGCUCUCUGGUCUGUAACUGACGCUGAGGCGCGAAAGCGUGGGGAGCAAACAGG